GACGAACGCUUGCGGCGUGCCUAAGAAAUGCAAGUCGAGCGAGAACCAACCUUCGGGUGAAGUUCUAGCGGCGAACGGUCGCGUAACACGUAAGCAACCUGCCCUAAAGUGGGGGAUAGCCCUCCGAAAGGAGGAUUAAUACCGCAUGUGGAUGCUUUCUCGCAUGUGAGAGCAUCUAAAGCAGCGAUGCGCUUUAGGAUGGGCUUGCGGCCUAUCAGCUAGUUGGUGUGGGUAACGGCCCACCAAGGCGACGACGGGUAGCUGGUCUGAGAGGAUGGUCAGCCGGACUGGGACUGAGAUACGGCCCAGACUCCUACGGGGGCAGCAAUUAGGAAUCUUGCGCAAUGGGCGAAAGCCUGACGCAGCGACGCCGCGUGACCGAUGAAGUCUUUCGGGAUGUAAAGGUCUUUUGCAGGGGACGAAGGAGUGACGGUACCCUGCGAAUAAGCCCCGGCUAACUACGUGCCAGCAGCCGACGGUAAAGUCACGUCG
This 492-nucleotide ribosomal RNA is filed under the name uncultured bacterium. RNAcentral describes it as "bacterial SSU rRNA". It matches the Rfam family "Bacterial small subunit ribosomal RNA", at positions 28 to 530 of the family's 1533-position model. The record is from RNAcentral.